UACGGAGGGGGCGAGCGUUAUUCGGAAUUACUGGGCGUAAAGGGCGCGUAGGCGGCUUGGUCAGUCCCGUGUGAAAUCCCUCGGCUCAACUGAGGAACUGCACGGGAAACUGCCUGGCUUGAGUUCGGGAGAGGGAAGCGGAAUUCCGGGUGUAGCGGUGGAAUGCGUAGAUAUCCGGAGGAACACCGGUGGCGAAGGCGGCUUCCUGGACCGACACUGACGCUGAGGCGCGAAAGCUAGGGGAGCAAACGGG
RNAcentral lists this ribosomal RNA (253 nucleotides) under uncultured bacterium. RNAcentral describes it as "partial 16S ribosomal RNA". It matches the Rfam family "Bacterial small subunit ribosomal RNA", at positions 524 to 776 of the family's 1533-position model. The record is from RNAcentral.